This 769-nucleotide long non-coding RNA is filed under the name Homo sapiens (human). RNAcentral describes it as "non-protein coding lnc-ZBTB8OS-3:1". Lineage: Eukaryota; Metazoa; Chordata; Mammalia; Primates; Hominidae. The record is from RNAcentral.
CGACCCUUUCAGAGUACUGAGAUGAAAAAUCUAGAAUGCCUUCGGGUCUAGUUAUCAAUUUUGGGGGUGAAGCGGGGGAAAGAACCUCGCCAGUCAGACCCAGACGGGUUUCAUUCAAGGUGCCCUUCAACGUUUUUCCUUAGUCUUUGGAAAGAACUAGUAAUGAAGGAAUCGCAGAAGAUGGGGUUUUGGCUUUUUAAAUAUGCGAUCCAAGCGGCAGGGUAGGGACUAAAGUAGGUCAACAGCCAACUCCGAGAAAGGAGUGUGGUCCUUUAAGGGUGUGCGCCAAGGGGCGGAGUCUAGAGCGGAAGUAGUAACUCCGGGCCGAAGUCCGGUGGAUGAAGGGCGGAAGUAGAGUGUCUAAUCCUGCAGUCAUGGCGCAGGAAGAGGAAGAUGUUAGAGAUUACAAUUUGACUGAAGAACAGAAGGCGAUCAAGGCCAAGUAUCCGCCAGUCAAUAGGAAGUACGAGUUGGAUUGUAUUACACAGAGCAUGAAUAUACUUCUUUAGGUUACACGCAUGGGGAGAUACUCUGGAGGAAGCAUUUGAGCAAUGUGCAAUGGCCAUGUUUGGUUACAUGACAGAUACUGGGACAGUGGAGCCCCUCCAAACAGUAGAAGUAGAAACCCAAGGAGAUGACUUACAGUCUCUUCUGUUUCACUUUUUGGAUGAAUGGCUUUAUAAGUUCAGUGCUGAUGAAUUCUUCAUACCCCGGGAAGUGAAAGUACUUAGCAUUGAUCAAAGAAAUUUCAAAUUACGAUCAAUUGGGU